UUUCCGUAGGUGAACCUGCGGAAGGAUCAUUAUUGGAUUUUGAAACUUCAGGCUGCUGCUGGCUCUCCUCGGAGGGCAUGUGCACGCUUGUUGUCCAUUAAUUCUCCCACUGUGCACAAAUUGUAGACCUUUCAGUAGGCCUAUGUUGUUUUUCACAAUCUCUGAAUGUAAUAGAAUGGUUUUGAAUCUUGGGAAAUACAAUACAACUUUCAGCAACGGAUCUCUUGGCUCUC
Molecule: unclassified non-coding RNA, 233 nt
Filed under: plant metagenome
Description: partial contains small subunit ribosomal RNA, internal transcribed spacer 1, and 5.8S ribosomal RNA
Source: RNAcentral